RNAcentral lists this long non-coding RNA (907 nucleotides) under Miscanthus lutarioriparius. Its description in RNAcentral is "MluLR14385". The record is from RNAcentral. Lineage: Eukaryota; Viridiplantae; Streptophyta; Magnoliopsida; Poales; Poaceae.
AGUUACCUAUUUUAUUACAGAUUAUAUUAGUUAAGAAAACACAAGGGAUCAAAGAUACAUGGAAAGAGAUAAUUUUGCGGGUUCUAAUAAUGAUUCCACCAAAAAAACAUAUCUUCUGUUCUUCCUAUCUCUCUCAUAUCAAUAAUUAAUUGUUAUUUUACACUUUGCUAGGCCACUUGGUUACUGUGAUGUUGGAAAUCAGCUCACUGCUAUUACUUAUGCUAUGUACAAGAUAUGAGUUGACAUUUGACAUAUCAUUUAAAAACACUAUACAGUAGAACACAGUGGUUCUCUUAUUUUUUUAUUUUGUGUGAAUUCUCCAUAGAAGUACUAGUACUUCAAAUGUUCAUUGCAUAUAGGUGGAGGAACCCGACAGAAAGGCACAACUGCAUAAGUGAGAGCAACUGAAGUCAACAUCAGCUACUGGGGUCAUGCCUAGAUUGUUCCAAGUCUAUAUGAGUUAAAAAAAAUGGCAUUCACAAAUAAUAGUCCAUCUAGGUUUGUUCCAAGUCAAACCUUUUUUUUACCUUUGUACUAUCAAUAUUUAAGAUUCUUUAUAGAUUUCCAACAUAAGAUAAGCAUGCUAGACUGAUUAUGAACAAUAUUUUUCAUCAUAAACUAUACCUGUUUCAUUUAAGAUAUUGUAUUUCAUAGAUAAUGGUAGCCAUAGUGUCGUAUUAGAAAUCGUGUUGAUGCCUGAAUGGACUUAUAUUUCCGAUCAAAUGAAGUAUAAUCGGGGAGAAUUUUUCUACCUGGGUUCUGAAUUUGAAUAUGCUUCUCUCAACCAAAACCACUAGAUGCACCAUAAACCCGGUAAAAUUCCAAAAAAGAAUUUAAGAAACUUAACAUAAGAAAACCCGAUAUGCUGAUGACAUCCAUAUCAAGGAAGCCAGCCUGGAUGUAGCCC